RNAcentral lists this long non-coding RNA (277 nucleotides) under Lathyrus oleraceus (garden pea). RNAcentral's name for it is "Pisum sativum (pea) long non-coding RNA (PSAT_LNC023192)". The record is from RNAcentral. Lineage: Eukaryota; Viridiplantae; Streptophyta; Magnoliopsida; Fabales; Fabaceae.
GAAAGACACAUGGUUGACUCCAAAUAGAUAAAGAUUUGUUCGAACAUGGAUUAAUCGCGUGCUACAUUUGGGUAACACGAUGACUAAUCAGUAUGUUUUUUUUAAAUAUUUCUUACUAUGUAUUUUUUUAAUAUGUAUUAUUUUUAAUAUUUUUAAUAUGCAUUAUUUUUAGGGUUGAAUCUGCUCAUUGGAAGUUAAAGCAGAUGUUGGGGAACAGUAUAGGUGACAUGGUCAAAUGUUGGGAAGCUAUGUAUAACAACUUGAGGUUACAACUGGG